Molecule: transfer RNA, 66 nt
Filed under: Encyrtus infelix
Lineage: Eukaryota; Metazoa; Arthropoda; Insecta; Hymenoptera; Encyrtidae
Description: tRNA-Ser
Source: RNAcentral
AAUUAUUUAGCUAUUUAAGCAUUAUGUUUUGAACACAUAACACAGAAAUUUAUUUUCUAAUAAUUU